CCCUUAGACACUCUAGGCGGCACGCGCGCUACAAUGGGUGGAAGACCGUGUUACUGCCCUCGAAAGAGGGGGUGAAUCACGAAUUCUCACCCGUGAAUGGGAUAGUUUGUUGCAAUUUUCGGACUUGAACUAGGAAUCCCUUGUAAGCAUGCUCAAGAAUAGUGUGCUGAAUACGUCCCUGCCGUUUGUACACACCGCCCGUCGUUUCUUCCGACUGAUACGAAUUGUGAGUUGCAAGGACCUCUCGGGGAAAUUGCCGCGAAUGCUUCGUAUUGGAGGAAGAAAAAGGCGUAACA
RNAcentral lists this ribosomal RNA (296 nucleotides) under uncultured eukaryote. RNAcentral's name for it is "partial 18S ribosomal RNA". It matches the Rfam family "Eukaryotic small subunit ribosomal RNA", at positions 1470 to 1796 of the family's 1831-position model. The record is from RNAcentral.